Hyaena hyaena (striped hyena) is the source of this 154-nucleotide long non-coding RNA. RefSeq lists it as uncharacterized. The record is from RefSeq and is a predicted model, not a curated record. The transcript is spliced from 3 exons. NCBI's taxonomy places the organism in Eukaryota, Metazoa, Chordata, Mammalia, Carnivora, Hyaenidae.
AAAAUGCAAAUACCAAAGAAGAUCACCAGAGGCAGCAGCACUGUGGUGCCUGGAGACAAAAGACAGCUAAAAGAAGAGACCGCACAGAACUGGAAGUAAUCUCGAGGAGGCUGUGUAGAAAAAGUAAUUCAAAGCAGUCAAGGGCACGGUAUGA